UACGUAGGGGGCAAGCGUUGUUCGGAAUCACUGGGCGUAAAGGGCGCGUAGGCGGAUCUUUAAGUCGGGGGUGAAAGCCCAGGGCUCAACCCUGGAAUUGCCUUCGAUACUGAAGAUCUCGAGACCGGAAGAGGUAAGUGGAACUGCGAGUGUAGAGGUGAAAUUCGUAGAUAUCGGGAGGAACACCAAUGGCGAAGGCAGCUCGCUGGGACGGUACUGACGCUGAGACGCGAAAGCGUGGGGAGCAAACAGG
This 253-nucleotide ribosomal RNA is filed under the name uncultured bacterium. RNAcentral describes it as "partial 16S ribosomal RNA". It matches the Rfam family "Bacterial small subunit ribosomal RNA", at positions 524 to 776 of the family's 1533-position model. The record is from RNAcentral.